GACGAACGCUGGCGGCGUGCUUAACACAUGCAAGUCGAACGGAAAGGCCCUGCUUUUGUGGGGUGCUCGAGUGGCGAACGGGUGAGUAACACGUGAGUAACCUGCCCCUGACUUUGGGAUAACUUCAGGAAACUGGGGCUAAUACCGGAUAGGAGCUCCUGCUGCAUGGUGGGGGUUGGAAAGUUUCGGCGGUUGGGGAUGGACUCGCGGCUUAUCAGCUUGUUUGUGGGGUAGUGGCUUACCAAGGCUUUGACGGGUAGCCGGCCUGAGAGGGUGACCGGCCACAUUGGGACUGAGAUACGGCCCAGACUCCUACGGGAGGCAGCAGUGGGGAAUAUUGCACAAUGGGCGGAAGCCUGAUGCAGCAACGCCGCGUGCGGGAUGACGGCCUUCGGGUUGUAAACCGCUUUCGCCUGUGACGAAGCGUGAGUGACGGUAAUGGGUAAAGAAGCACCGGCUAACUACGUG
Molecule: ribosomal RNA, 468 nt
Filed under: uncultured bacterium
Lineage: Bacteria
Description: partial 16S ribosomal RNA
Rfam family: Bacterial small subunit ribosomal RNA
Source: RNAcentral